CGCCUCCUCCGUCCGAUGAGUGGGAGGGGAGGUCCCCGGCGACGAGGCGGCCCUGCGCCGAUGUGCGGAUGGACUUGAAGAGCCAGGGGAGCUCGAGGUCGCCGCAAGGCCAUGGCCACUUGAAGCAGACGAAGGAGGGUGGGCUUGGCGGCGGCGGCCAUCUCUCCGGCGAGAGAAGCGGUGGUAGCGCCGGCGAGGCGGCGGUGGCGGAUUGGUCGAGGACGUGGGGAUGAAUGGACGGCGCAGCGCGAGAUAUUGAAUUCGAUCCAACGGCUACAACUCGCUGAGAGAAAAUGGACAUUUUGGCCACGUUGAAGACUGAGUUUCGCUAUUAUACCAUCAUCAAAACAUGAUUCGAUAAAGAGCCAUUUUCAAGUACAGACUCGCCACAAUUGUGUCAUUUUUGCUGUUUUAGUGAUUUCCGAAAUGAUUUUCGCUCGGUUGUGUGGUGAUGAGAUAAAGAUGUCCUUGCUCACCGGCGAGAACUCCCCGAAGCCAGUCACUGAUGGUAAUCGUCGUCCAUGAGGACAGCCUUCAGCUCCGGCGGCACACGCAUCCCCCACUGCAACCGCAGGCUUGCCUUGCUCCACAAUGGCAACAUGCUCCUGGUCAUGAGGCGCAUCCCGGACAGCAUGGCGCUGGCCCAGCCGCCGCUCUUCCCCGUGGCGGCCAUGUUUGCCGCGCCCCGUGGUCGUCGUCAUUGACGAGCGAGAAGUAGCCAAUACCGAGGCCAGUGCGGACGGAGAGGGUGGAGAGGGUGAAGGGAUGGAGCUAGCCAUUAGGGUGGUACGGUGGUACGAGAGACGGAGCGCCGGUCUGGAGGCGAAGGUAGAGAUCCAACGCAGGCAUCGCCACGGCGCCGUCGAAGGCAAAGGCAUCUCCCAUGCAGGCAUUGUAUCUCCACUACCACGUUGUGGAGGUAGUUAUCGAUGGGUCCAGCUAUGCCGUCGGCCUUGGUGGUUCGCCGCACGCACCCAUGAUCACAGUCGCCACCGGGGGAGUUCAAUUCCGUGCGACGCACGCGACCAUGACUAGAUGAGAAGCGUGGUCGCGCGGGGACGCCAUCGCAGAGGUUCGGUGGAAGGAGUCGGUCGGGGACAAUGUGUUCCGCCUCGUGGCCGAGCCCCACCUAGGCGCACCGCUGGCCAAUGGGCAUCAUCAUCGCCAUGACGCCAUCAACGAGAUGUAAAGAGAUCGAUUGAGCUCGCUGCAAGGGGAUAACAAGCUCGGGGUCCCACCUGCCACUAGGGGCAUAAGGCAUUUCCGUCCCAUCACCCCGCAGCUGGGCAAAUUUCGUUUUGGAAACGGGCAAAAUUCAUUUUGGAAACGAAUAAAUCAGUGAAAAUGGCACUUUGGCUAAUAAAGCAUGCUCGAAAAUGGCAUUUUAUUGAAUCACAUUUUGAGGAUGGUAUAAUAAUGAAACCCAGUUUUGAAUAUGGACAAAUGUUCGGCGCUCACUGGACGCGGCCUCUACUUUUACAAUAUUUUCAAAAAAAAAACCCCAAUGUAGUAAACAUUUACGUAUAUGGGUCGCUUCUCGCUACCAUUUGGCAGCGAUCUGAAUAAUAAUAUUUUCAUAAAACCCCCUAACAUAGACCGCUGCCAAGUGUGCUAGCUGUCACGCCUUUUUUUUUUCUGAAAUGAACCCUGGUUCGAUCUCAAUUCAUACCCCCAACCCUUUACUCCUGCUCUGGCGCCAGUGGAAUAUUUUGCUCCCUCCGCUCGCGUGGCUGGAAUUCUUUGCAGAGUCCUUUGGAACAAGGUUCGAGGGAUUUUGGUAGGAUUUUUAAAGGAUUCAAUUUUAUAGGAACAUUUUCUACAUGGUCCUUUGGAUUGAAGAGUUGGGCCGUGUUUAGUUUGGAAGUUUUUCUUUAAACUUCUAACUUUUGCAUCACAUCAAAAUUUUCCUACACACACAAACUUUUAACUUUUCCGUCAUAUCGUUCCAAUUUUAACCAAACUUCUAAUUUUGUCGUGAACUAAACACGGCCUUGGGCUAGUAAAUUUUCUGUGGAAUCAUUCAUUACCUUUAUUUGCCUUCCAGAGGACCAAAUAUCUUAAAAGUUCACCAGCUACAGUUAACAUACGGCGACAUUGGCUUAUAAAGCAGCACAAUAGCUACAAACUUCAACAAUCUAAUCUGGAAGCUGUGGGCACGAGAGAUCUCGAUAGUUGGCUUUCUUUUUAAUUGCUCAGACCAAAGGUCCUGAGCCUUGGUUUUUUAUUUCACAUUUGUAAAGUUUACUCCUCUGUUCAAAGAAAUUGGCAGCUUGUCGAUUCGCUAAAAAAACAAAUUUGCUGGAUUUGAAUAUGAGCUCUAACCUUAUGUUAUUGAUUUCCAUGGAGAAGUCCAAGGCAUUUUUUUUUCUAUUCAUCUUUCCUCCUAACUCUGUUCUAAGGACUACUUCGGUUCAUAGUAAUAGGAAAAACAUAGAAAUUGCCAAAGAAUACAUGGGCAAAACAAAGAGUAGGAAAAAUGUAAAAUAGUCUUUUGGAUGGUUGGUAGGAAAAAUGCAGGAAUGCUUAAUAUUAAGUUAACAUGAUUUGGAUUUAAUCUAUAAAACUUGGUGCUAAAUACAUAUAAAAGUGAGUGCUUUGCUUCGAUCCUAUGUGUAGCAAUAGUAAAUAAGGAGAAGAAAAGACUACAUGUUAUAACUAGCAAAGGCCUGGUAGUAAUUUACAUAAAAAAAAAAGAGAAAAGACUACAUGUGGGGAUGGGCCUCUGGCUGGGCCAGUUCGUAGCCAUGAGCAAGUUUAAUCUAUACAUAUGUAACGAAUUUUUUUCAUUUUUAAUUUUAAUUUUUUUAAUAUUUACAAAAAUAUUAUACCAUCCAAAAUAUUUACAGAAAUGACCAUGCCGCCCAAGUGGAGGACAGCAAGUGUGCACAUUUUGUACUUAGGUCCCUUGCUGCCUUCUACAAGGGCUGCAAGCAAUGGUGAAGUGCUUUUUACUCCCAGUUCGUAACCGGGACUACGAAUUCGGGACUAAAGAUCGCUAUCUUUAGUCCCGAUACAAAUAACCGGAUUAAAGAUGGAUCUUUAGUCCCGGUUGGUGUUCAUUAAAGAUCCCUCUUUAAUAGCGGUAGUUCCAGACGGUCUCUUUUUCCUUUUUUUUAUUUUCUCCCAAAUCAAGUGGGAAGCAUAUCUAUUUUCUCCAUGGGAGCAUGGGACAUAUGGGAGUAGGAGGCGAAAAGGCAGCCAUCUGCGCUAUCUUUCUUCCCUCCCCACCACGGCACCACAUACCACCCAAUAUAGCACUCAGCCUGUGUGACUGUUCUGGGUCCACACCUUUGUUAAUCGUCGGCUGAGAGCAAGCUUAAGUCUAAGUUUAAUAGUAUAGCCAACUUAAUAGUCAAUAUAGCCAACUACUAGCUCCAAAUCACAUAUAGUCAACUUAAUAGUCAAUUCAUAUAAUAGUUACAUACUACACUAUUAAUACCUGGUCCCACUUAUCAUACACACACUGUGUCUUAAAGUCCGUGCUACAGCUGGCUAUAAAUCUAUAGCUCGCUGCUCUUCUCUCUCCUUCUUUUAUCUUCUUAAAAUAGAUUUAUAGCUAGCUUAUAGCCUGCUAUUGUACCUGCUCUAUGCUCUAAGAUCGUUCUAAAUAGCGCAUGUCGUCUAGCGAUGUGCUAUAUGCUCCACAGCAGGGACGGAUCCAGGAAAGAUUAACAGGAGGGUCUGAACAAACUAUAUAAAGUUAUAGUCCCUUCGUUUAAUAGAUGUAUGACAUAAAAUUUUAGUGGGGUCUUUAUGGGUUCUCCCAUGGUUACAAUACAGGUAGUGGGGUCUCGAGACCCCAGGGACCCCAUGGUGGAUCCGCCACUGUUUCGUAGGCUGCAGCUGGAGAUAGAUAAAAUCAAGCUGCCACUUGGGCCUGGUUUAGUUCAUAACUUUUUCUUCAAACUUCCAACUUUUCCAUCACAACAAAACUUUCCUACAUACACAAACUUCCAACUUUUCCAUCACAUCAUUUCAAUUUCAACCAAACUUUCAAUUUUAACGUGAAAUAAACACACCAUUGGUUGUUUGGAUUAACACUGCUCGAGCUGUUUGGAAUCUUCACCUCGAGCUAGCAGGCCUGGUACGCUUCUAUAGGAGUCUAGUCAAAAUUGGUUAUAUAGCAUUGAAAGUUCAUGUUUUUGGUUUUAUAGCACCAAAAGUUACCAGUUCACUUUAAUAGCAUCCAAAGUUCACCAUGUUCCUAUUUUUAGCACUUCCGUCAAUUUUUCCAUCCGUCUUGAUCGUUAUUAUCCAGCCACACACAUGAUAUGACAUUUCUACCCCUCAUUGACAUGCAUUAUACUUGUACUUGUGAGGGGUAGAAACGUCAUAUCGUGUGUGUGGCUGGAUCAAGACGGACGGAAAACGAUCGAGAAUUGACGGAAGUGCUAAAAAUGGGAAUAUGGUGAACUUUGGGUGCUAUUAAAGUGAACCGGUAACUUUUGGUGCUAUAAAACCAAAAACGUAGAAACGUCAUAUCGUGUGUGUGGCUGGAUCAAGACGGACGGAAAACAAUCGAGAAUUGACGGAAGUGCUAAAAAUGUGAACAUGGUGAACUUUGGAUGCUAUUAAAGUGAACCGGUAACUUUCGGUGCUAUAAAACAAAAAACGUGAACUUUCGAUGCUAUAUAACCAAUUUUGCCGAGACUCGUCUAUUUCUACAUGCUAAAUAAUCUUCAUCCAUAUAAUCUGAACCACCAUGAUAUAAUGACAAACAAUAAACACUUACUCUUUUCUCCAUUGAUAUGGCGAUUUAUAUGCCUCUAAUCUAAACGUGGUGAUAUUUCUUUUUUAUACCUUAUGACAACACUAGAAAAUGGACGCGCCACUUGGUGCGCGGGAUAUUUAUUGCUCCUUUGUAGCAUAUAAAUAUUAUCGGGUUCUUUUAUAGAAUUAAUUAUUUAGUUUAUAUUUGAAACAAAAGAUAUAUAUUCAAAAUGGCUGAUGCUUUAUUUGUUAGCUUUUACUUAUUUUUUUUAAGCCAAUGAUAUUUUCUAUUUGAGCAAUAAUAUUUUUAAGUGAUGUUUUGAUAAGUAUUGUUAUACUUACCAUGCAAAGUAUUUUGAUGGUACAUCAUGUUUUUUAAUAUUUAUAUUUUCUUUUAAACAAAUAGCGAUCAAGGAUAAAGUGAAUGUUGGGGGUAUAAUACUUUAGAGUUUGCAAAAUUGGGGGUAUAAUACUUAAAGGCAAUUUAUAUUUUCUUUUAAACAUUAGCACUUAAUUAAUUAUUAUUAUUUCUUUAAUUAAUACCAUUACUAAUUAUUAAUUCUAAUCAGUAUGAUUAAUUGCGUCAUUAGUGGCCAUUCCGGCCAUCUCGCUCGAUCGGCCAACCAACACUGGUGGAGAAACCCUUUGUAGUCCCGGUUCGUAACCCCCCUUUAGUCCCGGUUUCCAAACCGGGAGUACCAAUCCGGGACUAAAGAUCGCUAUCUUUAGUCCCGGGUGAAAUAACCGGGAGUAAAGAUCGAUCUUUAGUCCCGGUUGGUAACACCAACCGGGACUAAAGAUGGCUCAGCCACGUGGCCGGCUGAGCCAUCUUUAGUCCCGGUUGGUGUUACCAACCGGGACUAAAGAUCGAGCUGACCAUUUUUUUUUUUGCAUGGCCCUGUUGCUGCAUGGUUUAUAUAUAUAUAUAGUUUAUAUAUAUAUAUAUAUAUAAACCAUGCAUAUAUAUGUUUCAAUACAUAUAUAUGCAUACAUAUAUAUAUAUGUAUAUAUAUAUAUAUUAUAUUAUAUUAUAUGUAUAUACAUGCAUAAUAUAUAUGUAUUUAUACACAUAUAUAUGUUAUGCAAAUUAAUGCAUAUGUAUAUAGAUAUAUAUAUAUGACCAAAAUAUAUUUACAUUAUAGAAAAUGUGUACACAUGCAUAUAGAAACAUAUGUAGUCAUGUAUUAAUUACAAUCCAUUAUAUGUCCUAGCUAGCUAGCUAUCAUUUCGACGUAGUAGUACUCGCUGCUAGCUCAGAAGCUAAGGACCGGUGAAUUGUGUUUCCGUCGUAGUAGAAUUCACCCUUGGGAUUAAGGAUUUCUUCGUUGAUGAAUCCCAUGAGUUGUUCUUGAACCGCCGUGAUAAAUUCCUUGUGUGUGGUCAGGUUAUCCCUCAUGCGAAUAAACUAUAUGAAUGUAUGAAAUUGAUUAGUAAUUAAACAAGAAAUCGCUACGUAAUGAAAUUUUGAAUUUAUUUGUACGUACAUCGAGCUCUCUUGUGGUGAUGAUUUGGUUUGCAAGGCAGUGGCAAUACUCGCACACGUAAUAGCCGCACAAGUUAUUUCCCUGCUUUUGCUUUGCGCACUACAAAUAAAUGACAAACAACGAGAGAUCUAAUUAAUAUACACUUGUAUGUAUUUGAAUCGGAGAAAUAUAAAUAUAGAGCAUGUGUACUCACAGGAAAUUUGAACUUCCGCCUAAGUCUUUCUCUCCAUUUGCCGCGGACCAAAUGACGGAACCGAUACCAAGCCCUACAUGGAGUUUAAAGCUAUGAUUCGUAGUAGCAAUUAACAUAACAAGAUUUUCUUAAUUAACAAAGGAACUUAUGACGGUACCUGUCUAUAAGUUCGAAAACCUUGUCAAACGUAGACUCUUUUUUAUCCAUUGAGUCAUAUACGUUGACGGUGCAGGCCUCCAGGUCGAAGAGUAAAAGCACCCAGUGGAAUCUGCAAUGUGCGUGGGAUGCAUUACAUAUGAAACACUUAGCAAGUUCGUACGGGAAUGAAAUUUGGUAUGUAGGAAGACAGUAAAAUUAAACUAACUCUGUGUUGUAUGGCAACAGUAUGAACGUCUUGUAAUGCUGCGCCUUCAGGAGAUGGACGAGAUUGUCCUCUGUUUCUUGUGGAUAUUGGUCGAGCAUUGCGACGUUUACUCUCCGAGGGUCGAUGAAUCCAGUAUCGAAAACCCUCCGCCGUCGGGCCCUUUGAAUCUCCAUUCUACAACGAUAAAAGGGAGUAUAUUAUUUUCUAUAGUCUACUUAUAUACAAGGACCUAAUUUAUUAAAGGAGACGUAUAGUAAGAAAUCUAACCGAACGAUAUACUUACAAAAUCCAGCAACUCAUAAUAGAGACGUCGAGGGCGUCCAGCUGGUAUAGUUCGUAGAUUCCCUUGAAAUUGAUCCAGAGAAUGUCAUCUCCUUGCAAGAAGUCCGUGUCCCUGAUCCUCGCUCCGAUCAUCUCUCUACCGGCGGCGCUCAUCUCCAUGUACAGCUGAUGGAACUUGUACAUUUGUGUGGGUAGGGACUGCAGCAGCUCAGGCUUGACAAGCGGUUUACCGAGUUCGUACAUGUAUUUCACUUCCGCCUUUUCGAUUGGUGCGACUCCUAGCAAUUGAUCCGUAGUUAGACCGGUGUCAGUAAUAAAUUGUUCUAUCGUCAUUUCUUUACCGGUAACCAACGGCUCGAUCUCCUGUUUUGGUUGCUCUCCAAGCUGAGGGACUGGUUUGGACUUUCCAGAAGAUGCUUUCUUCAGCGUUCGCUCAUAGUCCGAUAGCUUGAUGGCCUCCUUGACAGAUGCAGACAUACCCCUGAAGAAGUUCCUGACACUGGGGUCUAUAGGAAUCUUCUUUUCUGGACUUCGAGGCUUGAAUUGUCUCUUGACUUCUGAUGCAACGUAAGCGUCAAGCUCCUCUUGCGUGCAAUCGUACCCCGGGUCCUUGUUCUUGGCGGCGUCAACUUUCGCCUUCUUCGUUGCCCUUGUGUGGGCAGGCGGUGCAGCUGGGGGGGCCCUUGACUUUGAAGGUGCCGGAAGAGGAGCUUGCGGGGGAGUAGGUGUAGGAGCACGAGGAGGAGUCGGUGCAGGAUCCUGAGGAGGAGUCGGUGCAGGAUCCUGAGGAGGAGUCGAUGCUGGAGCCUGAGGUGGAGACGGUGCUGGCGGAGCAUGAGGAGGAGACGGUGCAGGAUCAUGAGGAGGAGAUGGCGGAGCCGGAGGAGAUGGUGCACGAGACGCCGCUUGUCGCCCAGGGAGGAUGAUGUACCGCCUGCGCCAUAGAAUAAUGGCAUGGCUUGUGUCUCGUAGAUGCGUCUCACCGUCUCCUCCAGGGUAAUCCAGCUCGAGGUCCUCGUACGCGCCUUCGACCAACUCAACUUCGACCUUCGAGUAUCCUGCUGGAAUCGGCCUGCAGUGGUAAGUACCUGAAGGGUCCGUUGGGAUGGCCAUGCCCGACGCCACCUUCAUGUUGUGAGAGAUUAUUUAUUAGUAAUCAACAUAUAUAAGCAGGAACUAGCGGAAUGGCUAAAUCUUACCUUUAUUGAUAAGUUCUUGAAAGGAAUAUGCAGCUCACAUGGUGUCCGCUGAGUGAUGUCAUCAACGGGACAGGUCGAUUCGUCCUGUGUUUGCAUGGCGUCCAUGCUCUGCGAUCCUACCUGCCCCGUUGAGGCGCAGCUGCUACGGUUUCCUGACGGGCUCACCAUUGCAGGAGGAAUGGUCGGCUGGGGAUCAUGGGACCGAUGUGCGGCCAUGCGUUCAUCAACCUUCCUUGCCACCUCCUCUUGCAUGUUGAGUUCGUAGCUCGAUACCCGGAACUCUAGGUCUGCAAUCUUCGCCUCGGUAUCUCUCUUGCUCCUCAUCCGACUCCUGUACGUGUGGAUGUCCUCCUUGAAACCAAUCUUCCAAGGAAUCACCCCUUUCCCUCGUGUUCGUCCUGGAUGCUCUGGAGUCUGCAGGGCGAGUGUCAGCUCGUCCCUAUCUCUGUCGGGUCGGAACGUGCCCUGAGAGGAGGCUUCCACUGCAUCUGUUAGUCGUUGCGCAGCCUCUCGUAUCUGAACGCCGAAUACCAGUGAGCCAUCAGCUGGGUUGAGCGUUCCACCGUGAGCAUAGUACCAGAACUUCGAUCGUUCCGGCCAAUUGGCUGUUGCCGGUUCGAUACCCCUCUCAAUCAAGCUAGCCUCCAUCUCCUCCCACUUCGGCAUCGCGACGCUAUAGCCUCCUGACCCCAAGUGGUGAUGGUACUUCUUCUUGGCGGCAUUUUCUUUGUUUCUUUCCAUCAUCGCCUGCCCUUGUUCACCUGUCUUAUAUGCAACGAACUCGUCCCAGUGAUCCCUUAGCUUUGGGAAUGUGUCGAAGUUCGGUGUCUGCCCCUUCAGUAUAUACUUCUUGUACAGAUCUCCCUUGAAGCUCUGAAACUGUUCUGCCAUUUUCUUCAGAGUCCACCUUUUCACUUUGUCCUCUGUACCCGCAGGAAGGGUGAAUGUCUCGAGCAUUGUGGUCCACAGCAUCUCUUUCUCCGAAUCUGGGACAAAGCUCUCAUGAUCUCCUCGUGCCCUUGUUCUUCGCCAGUACACCGUACUGACAGGCACGUUAUCCCGCACAACCCAACCGCUGUGACGUACAUAGUUCUUGGCGGCUUCGGCCGGGGCACUAGGACGUCCAUCUUCUUCCACUUCCGUUAUGAUGUGCCGACCCUCAAGCUUCUUCGCUGCACCUCGUUGCCCGCGUGCCCUCUUCUGUCCAACGGAGGGUUGACUACCACUAGCCUCCUCCUCCUGGUUCCCCUCCACAUCCCUUUCCACGUGCCCCUGCUGGUUCCCCUCCGCAUCCCUCUCCACGUUCCCUUCCUCGUUCAAGUACUGGUUUGGAUCCUCGUUCCCCUCUUCUUCAUUCCAGUACUGGCUGCUUCCCUCCGCGAUUGUAUCGUACAAUAUCUGUUCCUCAUCGCGGUCAGCCAUCUGUUGAUACAAGAAACAUCUGCUAAGUCACGAGACAUUUAUGUUUUAACAAUCUAAGUCAUGUAUGCUAAGUGUAAAUGUCGUACAUUAGAACCCUACACAAACUUACGUGCUAAGUCUAAUUACAAAUCGUGAUAUAAGCUAAGUCUAGGUGACGUAUAUUAUACAACCCUAGCUAGUAAAUAAUUAUAUACUAAGUCUAAUUACAAAUAAAGUAAUCUUAUAUUAAAACUCAAAUAAUAUUACAUGCUAAGACUAAAAUAGUCAUGUAUGCUAAGUGUUUCGUGCAUAUAUGCUAAGUCUAAUUAAGACAACAAUAGUCAAUUGCUACUUGUCGCACCAUUUCCGUAGUAAAUAAUUAUAUACUAAGUCUAAUCUCAAAUAAAGUAAUCUUAUAUUAAAACUCAAAUAAUAUUACAUGCUAAGACUAAAAUAGUCAUGUCUGCUAAGUGUUUCGUGCGUAUAUGCUAAGUGUAAUUAAGACUACAAUAGUCAAUUGCUACUUGUCGCACCACUUCCGUAGUCAAUAAUUAUAUACUAAGUCUAAUUACAAAUAAAGUAAUCUUAUAUAUAUAUUCAAAUAAUAUUACAUGCUAAGACUAAAAUAGUCAUGUAUGCUAAGUGUUUCGUGCGUAUAUGCUAAGUCUAAUUAAGACUACAAUAGUCAAUUGCUACUUGUCGCACCACUUCCGUAGUCAAUAAUUACAUACUAAGUCUAAUUACAAAUAAAGUAAUCUUAUAUUAAAACUCAAAUAAUAUUAGAACACUACACAAUCUUAUAUGAUAAGUCUAAUUACAGGUCUAAUAAUCUUAAUUAAUUGCAUUACAAAUAUAACAAUCAUUUAUAUUAUUACGUCACUUGCCUGCUCCAAUUCCUUCUAGGGCUAGCUCUUCCACUCAGGCUUGACGGACGACUCCGACAACACGUCUUUUCUGCAAGAUACAAAAAGAUGUAUAUAGUCAAAUGCGAAGUAACAUAUACAUAUAUAUAUAUAUACAUAUAUAUAUAUAUACAUAUAUAUAUAUAUACAUAUAUAUAUAUAUAUAUAUAUAUAUAUUGCAUUUCACGUUAACGUUCGUCCUCGUUCGUUCGCUCGUUCACGUUCCCUAGCUCGUUCACGUUCGUUCCCUCGUUCUCACUUGUCUUCGUUCGAUCGUUCUCGUUAUCGCUCUCGUUCGUUCGAUCGUUCUCGUUCUCGUUCACGUUCUCGCGGCAACAUACAUUGACGUGUUCGUUCUCGCUCUCGUUCGUUCGAUCGUUCUCGUUCUCGUUCACGUUCUCACGGCAACGUACGUUGACGUGUUCGUUCUCGCUUCUCGUUCGUUCGAUCGUUCUCGUUCUCGUUCGUUAAUGGCGGUGUGGCGGCAUCGGGGCGGCGGUUGGCGCCGUGGCGACGGCGGCGGCGUGGCGACGGCGUGGCGACGGCGGCGUGGCGACGGCGGCGGCGUGGUGACGGCGUGGCGACGGUGGCGUGGCGGCGGCGGCGUGGCGUUGCGGGGCCGUGGCGGCAUCGGGGCGGCGGUUGGCGCCGUGGCGACGGCGGCGGCGUGGCGACGGCGGCGGCGUGGCGACGGCGUGGCGACGGCGGCGGCGUGGUGACAGCGUGGCGACGGUGGCGUGGCGACGGCGGCGGCGGCGGCGUGGCGUUGCGGGGCCGUGGCGGCGGCGGCGUGGCGUGGCGGCGGCGACGGAGAGAGACGGAGAGAGAUCGAGCUGAGAUCGGAGAGAUCGAGAGAUAAAGGGAGAUCUGGCGGCGGCGGCUCUCACCCCAGAGAUGCGGCGGCAGCGGAGGAGGCGGAGGCGGCGGCGAGGACGACGAGCUCGAGACGACGGCGAGAUACGGCGGCGUCGGCGCGGGGAUUUGCCCUAGGCAGUGGCGGCGAAGGAGAGAGGCCGAGAGAGAUCGAUCGGCCGAAAACGUCUAAGUGUUGGUGAAGAAGACGAGGGCGCACCGGGAAUAUAUAUACCCCCGGAUCUUUACUCCCGGUUGUUCUCAACAACCGGGACUAAAGAUAUCUUUAGUCCCGGUUGUUCUCAACAACCGGGAGUAAAUAUCUUUUCCCGCUAUUUCGAAAUUCUUUUUAAACCCGGUUAGGGUUAAGAACCGGGACUAAAGAUUAUAGCACUGCAUAUGAUUUUCGCUUACAUAUGUGUUUAUAAAAUAGAAGUUAAUGCAUUAACAUUAUUUAAAGUACUAAAGAUUAAUGACAAUUACUUCGAAAAAUUAUUUUUGUCUGUAAUAAAUUAAGUGGAUAAAUCGUAAUAAGCAAAUAUAUGACUUAUAAUUAAUAAAAAUUCCAAUAUAUAUAUAUAUAUACUUAGCAUAUAUAUGAAUGAUAUUAUUAUAUUGGUAAAAACUCUAAUUAAGAUAUGUAUGUACAUACUGCAUGAUUUAAAAUUAAUAAAAAUUGUAAUCAUCAUAUAUACUUAGCGUAGGAAUUAUAUUAAAUUAAAUGCUAAAAACUCUAAUUAACAUAUGUAAAUGCCACAUGCAUGAUUUAAACCUUUUAAAAAUUCGAAUAGUCAUAUAUAAGUAGCAUAUGAAAGAUAGUAAAUUAAAUUGUGAAAAACUCUAAUAUAUGAAUGAUAGUUUUAAAAAUAUAUUAAAUUUAAUACUUUUAAAAAUUCUCCAGUCAAUUAUAAUUAGCAUAUGAAUGAUAGUAAAUUAAAUGUUAAAAACUCUAAUUAACAUAUAAAAUUGCCACUUGCGUGAUUUAAAACUUUUAAAAAUCCUCUAGUCAAUUAUAAUUAGCAUAUGAAUGCUAGUAAAUUAAAUGUUAAAAACUCUAAUUAACGUACAUAUGAAAUUGCCACCUGUGUGAUUUAAAACUUUUAAAAAUUGUAAGUAUCACAUAUAACUAGCAUAUACAUGAUUUGAACUUGUUGAAACCUCUAAUAAUCGUGCGUAAUUAACAUAUGCCAUACAUCAAUUGAUUUAUAUGGAUAAUCAAUACAUCCAAAAUAGUUUACAUCGUGUACACAAUAAUUACGGCAUUACAUCGGCGGUGACGGUUGACCGCACGUACUUUCUCCUCACUAUUGUUCCCUCCUUGUGAUCGCUGCGUGAGUAAGGGGUGUCUUCAUUUGAUAGGAGGAUGCUAGGGUCAAUCGUCACCGUGAAAGGGGGUUGCCCAUCCAACUGAUCGUAAUCCUCGUCAGUCUUGUCCUCAACUCCGACGAUUUUUCUUUUGCCUGGGAGAACCACUUGACGCUUAGGCUCAUCAGGCCCUCUGCCCUUCUUUCCUUUGCUAGACAUGUCCUUCACGAAAAAGACUUGCGUUACAUCAUUGGCAAGGACAAAAGGUUCGUCCGAGUAUCCAACCUUGUUAAGGUCAACAGUUGUCAUCCCACUGUCAUCAAUCAUUACGCCUCCACCAGUCAACCUAACCCAUUGGCACCGGAACAGAGGAACCUUGAGAGGACCAUAGUCAAGUUCCCAUAUGUCCUCGAUGGCACCGUAAUACGUGGCAGUUGUUCCAUCGUGUCCCAUGGCAUCGACACGAACAACGCUGUUUUGGUUCGUGCUCUUCAUGUCUUGGGCUCUCGUGUAGAAUGUGUACCCAUUGAUCUCAUAUCCCUGGAAUGUCGCGAUCGACCCAGACGGUCCCCUCGCCAGGAAGGCAAGUUGUUGGUUGAUCGACUCGUUACCCAUGAGAUGUUGUCGUAGCCACGCGGGGAAAGUAUCAAUGUGAUGCCGUGUAAUCCAUACAUCGGACUUACCGAUGUUCCUGGCGCGAACUAGAGCCAAGUGCUCCUCGAUGUAAGGAGCUACCAAUGAAGAGUGUUGCAGAACAGUGAAAUGGGCUUUACGGAAUAAAUUGUUGUCUACCGUCAUAAUUGCUUUCCUUCCGAGAGUUCCCUUUCCCCGUAGUCUCCCUUCAUGGCGUGAUUCCGGUACCCCGAUUGGGCGAAGGUCUUCGAUAAAUUCUACGCAAAAUUCGAUGACCUCCUCUGUUCCAUAACCCUUGGCGAUGCUUGCCUCUGGACGAGCACGGUUACGAACAUACUUCUUCAGAACGCCCAUGUACCUCUCGAAAGGAAACAUGUUGUGUAGGUACAUAGGCCCGAGAAUACGGAUCUCUUUCACAAGGUGACAAAGCAGAUGUGUCAUUAUAUUGAAAAAUGAAGGUGGAAAUAUCAACUCAAAACUGACGAGACAUUGCACCACUUCAUUCUGAAGGGCAUCUAAUCUAUCCGGAUCGAUGACCUUCUGCGAAAUUGCGUUCAUGAAUGCACAUAGCUUUGUUAUUGUUGCCCGGACAUUGUCUGGAAGGAUACCCCUUAUUACAACUGGUAGCAGUUGUGUCAUCAACACGUGACAGUCAUGAGACUUUAGGUUUGUGAACUUCUUCUCCUUCGUGCUUAUUAUUCGCUUGAUAUUCGUGGAGUAUCCAGACGGUACCUUUAUGCUCUCCAAGCAUUCAAACAUACUUUCCUUCUCUGCCUUGCUAAGAGUGUAGCUGGCUGGACUCAAGUAAUGGCUUCCUUUCUCCUUUGGUUCCGGGUGAAGGUCGCCGCGUUGUUCCAUAUGCUUCAGAUCAUUACGUGCUUCCAGUGUAUCUUUCGACUUUCCGUAUACACCUAGGAAGCCAAGAAGGUUUACGCAAAGGUUCUUAGUGAGGUGCAUCACGUCGAUUGCGUGGCGUACGUCCAAGAAUUCCCAAUAUGGUAACUCCCAAAAUAUAGAGUUCUUUUUCCACAUCGCCGCGUGACCAUCUUCGCUCUCUAUAUGCUGGCUUCCAGGCCCCUUUCCGAACACUACUUUAAGAUCUUUAACCAUAGCAAACACUGUUUUCCCGCUGCGAUGUUUAGGCUUCGUACGGUGGUCGGCCUUAUGUUCGAAGUGCUUGCCUUUCUUCCGUACCGGGUGGUUUGCUGCAAGGAAUCGACGAUGACCCAUGUAUACAACCUUCCUACAGUGCUUAAGAUACGUACUUUCUGUUUCAUCCAUACAGUGAGUGCAAGCCUUGUACCCCUUGUUGGACUGUCCGGAUAGGUUGCUAAGUGCAGGCCAAUCGUUGAUGGUUACGAACGGCAGCGCUCGUAGGUUAAACUCCUCAUGUUUGUCCUCGUCCCACACGGGGACACCUUCCUUCUUCCACAACUGUUUAAGAUCCUCGACCAGUGGUCUUAGGUACACGUCGAUGUCGUUACCAGGUUGCUUGGGGCCUUGAAUAAUAAUCGGCAUCAUUAUGUACUUCCUCUUCAUGCAUAGCCAGGGGGGGAGGUUGUAGAUACACAUCGUAACGGGCCAAGUGCUAUGGCCGCUGCUCAUCUCUCCAAAAGGAUUCAUGCCAUCCGUACUCAAACCAAACCGUAUGUUUCGUGCGUCCUUUCCAAAUUCUUUAAAUUUUCUGUCGAUGUUUCGCCACUGCGAACCAUCGGCGGGGUGUCUCAGCAUCUCGUCCUGUUGACGCUCUUCAGCGUGCCAUCGCAACAUUCUAGCAUUCCCCUUGUUCCUGAACAAACGCCUUAGCCGUGGUAUUAUAGGGAAAUACCACAUCACCUUAGCAGGAAUUCUCUUCUUUGUUAGCUGCCCGUCAACUUCUCCUGGAUCGUCCCGUCUAAUCUUGUAUCGUAGUGCUUUGCAAACAGGGCAUGCUUCUAGGUUCUCGUACUCCUCACCGCGAUAUAGGAUACAAUCGUUCGGACAUGCGUGAAUCUUAUGAACUUCCAGUCCUAACGGGCAGACUAUCUUCUUAGCCUCGUACGUUGUCUCGGGCAAUUUGUUUCCCCCCGGAAGAAUGUUCUUGACGAGUUUCAAUAAAUCGCCAAAUGCCUUGUCACUAACCCCAUUUUUUGCCUUCCAUUGCAACAACUCCAGAGUGGUAUCCAACUUUUUGUGCCCCUGCUCGCAACCUGGGUACAACGAAGUUCUGUGGUCCUCCAACAUCUUGUCCAAUUUAUGGGCCUCCUUUUCACUUUCGCAGUCCUCCCUGGCGUCCUGCAACAUUUGACCAAGAUCAUCCGCAACGUCGUUACCAUCAGCAGCUAUUUCCUCCUCGCCCGUUUGAUUUCCUUCAAAUCCAACAAAUUGAGCAAAGUCCGGAAUAUUGUCGUCUUCCACUUCAUCUUCUUCCAUUUCAACACCUUGCUCUCCGUGGGAUGUCCAACAAUUAUAGCUUGGCAUGAACCCCGACUCAAACAAGUGGAAAUGAAUAGUCCUGGAUGCAGAAUACUCCUUCUGAUUCUUACACUUAUUGCAUGGACAACAAAUAAAACCCCUUUUCCUGUUAGCUUCGGCCACUCUCAAAAAACAGUGCACGCCGUCAAUAAACUCUUUGGACCGCCGGUCAGCGUACAUCCAUUGCCGAUCCAUCUACAUGAGUCAAAAAAACCGUACACAAAUAAUUAUUCUUACAAUAAUGACAGUCAUACAAUAAUUAUAAGAUAUCUUUAUUCAUACAAAAAUCAUAAAAUAUUACACCAAAUAAUUCUUAAAAACUAUUUGUUAAGUAAUAAACUAAUUUUAAUGUGUUUUACUUCUUUUAAUUUUCAUUUUAGUUUGUUUUCUAUUAUUUAAGAUUAACUUUCACUAGAGUUUUCCUUCUCAACUAUUUUAUAAAACCUUGUUUAGCAAAUGAACUAAAUUUCUAUAUAUUCUUUCUUCCCCACACACAUUUUCUCUCUCAUCAACUUACAACUACAUUUUGGAGACAAAAAAAGUGUGCAAAACAUAGGUGCAAAUGUAGUAUGACAAAAAAAACAUUGGAGGAUGAAGUUGCAAACCUUUUAGGCACCUCCGAUUUGUAUGUAAUCACCAAAAUAAAUUCAAUAGAAAUUUUGGCAUGACCUCCCCUCUUUUUUGAAGAAAUUUUGAAGCUUGCUCGGGCAGCUGGAGGAGGAAGAAGACAUAUAUAUAGGGGUGGGACUUUAGUCCCGGUUGGUAGCACCAACCGGGGCUAAAGAUCACCGGGAUCUUUAGUCCCGGUUGGUAUUACCAACCGGGACUAAAGUUACCAUCUUUAGUCCCGGUUGGUGUUAUCAACCGGGACUAAAGAUACCGGGAGGGCCUGACAGACCCUGACAGCAUUCGAACCGGGACUAAAGAUCAUCUUUAGUCCCGGUUGGUAACACAAACCGGGACUAAAGAUCAAAUAUGCCCGUUACCCUUUUGAACCGGGACUAAAGAACAUCUUUAGCCCCGGUUUUUAUUGCAUCCGGGACUACUGUGGAAAUCGGCCGACCGACGAAAGAUGGUUUCUCCACCAGUGCAACUAGACCGAGGCCAUGUCCAGCGAUACUGACCGGUCUCAGCGCUGACUCAUCGUGCCGUUGUCACUAUCGUGCGUUAACGAUUUCGUCACCAACGUUGGUCUCUCAGCACUGAGUCAUCGUGCCGUUGUCACUAUCGUGCGUUGGUUUUAAGAUUUCGUCGUGAUUUCGCACUGUCGAACCACGAUAUACUAUUGUCCCAGAAAGAUAGAGCGAGACCACACGAAUAGUGUGUGACACCACUCAUAAUAGAUUAAAAUGGUGAUUCCCCGCGCUUUGCAACGAAAAUUAGUAACUUUUAAUUUUUUUUAAUAAUCGAGCUAAAAGUAAAAAUUAUAUUAGUUAUUAACGACAAAUAAAACUGGAUUGUCAAACUAUGUUAAGAGAGAAAUAAAUUUAGUAGACUCUGUAUGAGAUUGCAGAUGAAAUAUGAUAUCCUGUACUUUGAUUAUAUGGAUAAAUAUGCUUUAAAUAUUAUAAAAACUAGUUGGGUGUCCCGCGCAAUUGCGCGGAUAGCAUCAAUUUAAAAUUAUCUAUUUUUACACAUGAUUUUAUUUAAAAUUAUCAUUCCCGUUAUUCUAAUAAUUUUAUAGUUUUUAAAAGCCACGUCAGUCGCUACCCCUUACUUCUUUGACACAUUUUAUUUGGUUACUCGAUCUACCACUACUUCUAUUCAUCCUCUUUAGAACUUUACAAAUUAGGCCUUAUAGUUGUUAGAGUUCAUUAUCUUGUUGGGUUUCAUUUUCAUAAUUUUUAGAAGUAUCGUCAAACAUUGCCAAUUUACUACUCUACGGCCCGUUCGCAAGCACCUCUCUUUAUUGUCACUGGGAUUUUAAAAGUUGAAUAUAAUUAUUGUUUGUGUUCUAUUUUACUUUCUAUAAGUCUCGCGAAAUCCUUAGUGGCUUCACUACUAUACUCCUCUACAGCCCGUUGCCUCCCCCUCCUUGUUGUCAUUGUGAUUUUAAAACUCGAACAUAAUUAUUAUUGGGGUUUAUUUUUACUCUCCAUAAGUCUCGCUAACCAUCGUGACUAUGCCGCUUAACGGCAUGCCCAUCGUCACUCCUCUUAAUCGUUAUUGGGAUUCUAUUUGGGGUUUGGUUUAUAGUUUUUAGAUAUCCCAUCAACUACCAGCACUCUACUUUUUUACAGGCCUAUUGCUCCUCCCAUCUUUAUUGUCAUUUGUCAUCGUUAUGUUCUAGAUGGACUUUUUUAAAAAAAUAUUGUAUAUUAUUCAUUUCGAUAAUUUUUAUUCAUAAAUUAUAUUCCUACUUGAACUAUUAUAAUUAUUUUUCUAUUUUAAAAUGUAUUUUAUUUGUUAUUUCGAACUUUAAUUAAUCUUGUCAUGUGUUCUAGAUUGUCUCUUAUUUCAAUAGUCUUUAUUUUUUUUAUUACAAAUUUUAGUUAUUUAUAAAUUGUACUCUAGUUGAGAUUUUAUUUUUAUUUUUCUAUUUUCUGAAUUUAUUUUAUUUUUUAUUUCGAAUUUUAAUUAAUCUCGUAUUGUGUUCUAUAUAGACUAUUCUUUUAAUAUUUCUUAUUUUUUAUUUCCAAUUUCAUUUUUUUCAAAAUUGUAUUCGUACUUGAACUCUCUUUUUUAUUUUUUUCUAAUUUUAGAUUUAAUUUGAUUUUUUAUUUUAAAUUUUAAUUAAUAUUGUAUUGGUUUCUUAUAUGUACUCUUUUUAAUUUCGAAUUUUAGUUAUUUUCAAAUUGUAUUCCUACGUGAACUCUUCUUUUAUUCACUUUCUAAAUUCGGAUUUAUUUUAUUUUUAUUCUAAAUUUUAAUUAAUCUCGUAUUGGGUUCUUAUAUGGACUCUUAUUUCAAUAUUCCUUAUUUUUAAUUCCGAAUUUCAAAUAUUUUCAAAUUGUACUCCUACUUGGACUCUUAUUUUUUUUCUAAUUUCGGAUUUUAUUUUAUUUUUAUUCUGAAUUUUAAUUAAUCUCGUAUUGGAUUCUUAUAUGGACUCUUAUUUCAAUAUUCCUUAUUUUUAAUUCCGAAUUUCACAUAUUUUCAAAUUGUAUUCCUACUUGGACUCUUUUUUUCUAAUUUCGGAUUUUAUUUUAUUUUUAUUCUGAAUUUUAAUUAAUCUCGUAUUAGGUUGUUAUAUGGACUCUUCUUUCAAUAUUCCUUAAUUUUAAUUCCAAAUUUCAGAUAUUUUUAAAUUGUAUUCCUACAUCGACUAUUCUUUUUUUUUCUAAUUUCGGAUUUUAUGUUAAUUUUAUUUAGAAUUUUGAUUAAUUUCGUAUUGGUUCUUAUAUGGACUCUUAUUUUAAUAUUGCUUAUUUUUAAUUCCGAAUUUCAGAUAUUUUAAAAUUGUACUCCUACUUAGAAUUUUUUUCUAAUUUUGGAUUUUAUUUUAUUUUUAUUCCGAAUUUUGAUUAAUCUCUUAUUGGGUUUUUAUACAGACUGUUCUUUCAAUAUUGCUUAAUUUUAAUUCCAAAUUUCAGCUAUUUUUAAGUUGUAUUUUUACUUAGACUUUUCUUUUCUUUUUCUCCGUUUAAUGUGGGAAUUUCUUGUCUCCACAACGAACGUGGUGUUUUCUUUCAAGACUGUUUUAAUAAUAUAAUAGAUGAUGGAUAUAUAUAUAUAUAUAUAUAUAUAUAUAUAUAUAUAUAUAUAUAUAUAUAUAUGUCAAAUAUAUUGUGAAAUAUAAUAUGAAGGUAGAUGAUUGGAUGUUGAUUUGUAGAACUAGAUGAUACCCCGCACGUUGUGGCGGGACAUAGUGCAUACCAACGAAAGAGGGAAAACUCAAUGAGAACAUUUGAUCCAUCACAGUACAUGUAACAAAAUUCUAUGAGAAUAUUUGAUCAAUCACAUUUAACAAAUAAGUGAAAUUGUGUUCUUACCCCUCUUUUUAGGGUUUUUGAUUUUAUCUCAUUUGAUCAACCAUAGAAAAAGGAAUUUCGCAACAACAAAUGUUCCCUCUUUUUUAGGAUUUUUUAUUUUAUCUUAUUUGAUCAACUAUAGGAAAAAGAAUUUCAUGACAACAAAUUUUGGAAAUAAUAACUCAAUAAGUAGAAAUUCACUGAGAGAUCAUGAAAGUUUCGAGUAUUACUGUCGGAUAUAAAAGGUCUGAAAAUGUGUAAUGAUCAUAAACUUGUUUGUUGCACCUAGCUAUAAAUGACCACCUGUAAUAUUCUUUUCAGCUUGAUAUAUAUGGUUGAUUGAUGGAGAUGGGUUACAUUAUUUGACUGAAAUAAAUAAUACUGCAAUAAGAAAGAAACUAAGUUACGGAUACAACCUUGAAAUUUCUAAAAUAAUCACUUUAAUUGAAGAGGAAAACUGAAUUCUCUUCUGAAUCAUAACAUAAGUGAAAUAUGAAGGUACAUAUUAGUGAUCAGAUUUACAUUCCCAAUUGGUGAAGCAUAUAAUGUAUUGGCACGCUUAAUAUGAUCUACUCCAAUAUGAAAGGAGGGGGAAUGUAACAUAAAAUUUCAUAAAGGAUAAAAUAAGUGAUACAUGGUGUCACCAAUAGACAGGCAGACUGAAAGCACACCCAGUGAACUCAACAAAAAAAAAAACCUUUUGUUUUAAUUUGGUAAGCCAAUUAACUCAACAUGAAAGAAUGAGGGAAGAGAAGAAUGUACCUUAUCCAACUUGAAGAUUGAUGAGGAUAGAAAACAAGUGAACUAAACAAAAAAAAACCUUUUGUUUUAAUUUGUUAAGCCAAUUAACUCAACAUAAAAGAAUGAGGGAAGAGAAGAAUGCACCUUAUCCAACUUGAAGAUUGAUGAGGACAGAAAACGAAAAGUUGAGACCGCGCAGAAACACGAAAACGAAUCUUGAUCAGCUGGUGUUUGCAAUGGAACGAUGUCGCUGAAGGACCAAUUAGUAGUGGCCAUUUGCUAUAAUAAUCCCAAACCAAGACGAAGAUCGGCCAAUCUGCCAUUUUUCUUAAAUCAAAAGAGAAGAUUUGCUAGUGUGCUGCCACAAUGAGUUACUCCACCUAGCAAAAGGGGGAGGCCAGCCAAUAUAUGAUGUUGAUGGAAGCUACAUCUAAACGAAGCCACCGGAUGAAUCGGAGAGGAACCGAAAGCCACCCGCCGUGAAGGUCACCUAUAAUAUAACGACGCAACACUAUGAUUUAAAGGUGGGUGUCAUGACAGCCAUGAAACGUAGAUGACGGUUUCCUGGUUUGCCAUACAUGAAGAAGGCAUGAAGGCAUCACGCCGUGGAAUCUCAAUGAUUUGGGGGAGCGAUAACGAUCACGACGUUUUCUUUUCCUGCUGUUCUAGUUGAUGACUACGGGAAAAGAACGAUCUGUUUUACAUGAUGGCUGGACUGGUGUGGUGGACUUCAAUGGGCUUCAUUACAGGCCCGUCCACUAGAAGCCUAGGGACAUGACGUUAAACACUGAUCAAACCACACAAUUACAAUCUAAUGGUCCAAAACAAUUAAGUUGAUGUGGCAAAGCGAGAGAGCAGGAAAAUAGAAUUAGUGGGGAUGACUUGUAUAUGUAUAUAGGAUUCGGGGCUUGUUCACUUUGCUACCAUUUUCAACCUUAUCAAGUUUUGGCAAAGUUACCAAAAAAGUGGCUACAUUUAGUUUGUUGCUAAAUUUUAGUAACUACAUAUGAAAUCUUUGCCAAAAUUUGACAAUCUUACCAAAAUUUUGGCAACCUUACCAAAGUUUGGCAAUGCCAAAACUUGAUAAGGUUAAAAAUAGUAGCAAAGUGAACAAGCCCUCAAUGAAAUAUAGAUGAUGUUGCAUGCUUACAUAAAUUUAUAUGUAAUUAUUGCUAGUGCAUUAUGAGGUGAUAUGUUUGUAUGUUGAGGUUUAAAAUUAGUGGAUUAUAACUUAAGAUAUGAUUAGCGUCAUUAGCACUUAAUUAAUUAUUAUUAUUAUUUCUUUAAUUAAUACCAUUACUAAUUAAUUAAUUAUAAUCAGUAUGAUUAAUUACGUCAUUAGUGUCCAUUCCGGCCAUCUCGCUCGAUCGGCCAACCAACUAGACCGAGGCCAUGUCCAGCGAUACUGACCGGUCUCAGCGCUGACUCAUCACGCUUUUGUCACUAUCGGGCGUUAACGAUUUCGUCACUAACGUUGGUCUCUCACCACUGAGUCAUCGUGCCGUUGUCACUAUCGUGCGUUGGUUUUAAGAUUUCAUCUUGAUUUCGCACUGUCGAACCACGAUAUACUAUUGUCCCACAAAGAUAGAGCGAGACCACACGAAGAGUGUGUGACAUCACGCGAUCUCGCACGGCGAGGGCGCGUCACUGCACGAAUAAUAGAUUAAAUAGGUGAUUUUUCGCGCUUUGCUACGGAUAUUACUAAGUAACUUUAAAUAUUUUUUUAAUAAUCGAGCUAAAAGUAAAAAUUAUAUUAGUUAUUAACAACAAAUAAAACUUGUGGAGAGCAGUUCAGUUUUCUUUUGGUCUUUACCUUCCUCAUGGUAUAUCUCAUAUUUUUGAUAAUUGGCUUUUGGGGGUGGACAAAAAAAAAAGAAGAAAACUUGUUCUCAUAGGAGUAUCUGCUAUAUGUUGGGCUCUAUGGUUGAGUAGGAAUGAUGUCAUUUUUGACAAGUCACCGUCUAUUUCAUAUAUGCAGGUAGUUUUCAGGGCAACACAUUUGCUCCGGUCUUGGGCACAACUACAAAAGUGUGAGGAAGAUAGUGAGCUUUUAAAGGCUGCAUGCCGUAUUCUUGAGACAACGGUUAUGCAACUUUUUGUCAAUUUUGGAUGGAGGUUCACAAACAGAAUUCAAUAAUUGUGUACUCUUUAUCUUGGGUUGGCAGUCUUUAGGUUGUUUCUUUUUGAUGGUUGGUUUCAUCUUUUAAGUUUCUUUGAACUUCACUCAUUUUGAGUGUGAGAUUGUAAUAAUUGGCUGUAGCUCUUUGAGCGGCCAGGAUGCUCUACUCCAUUAUCUAAAAAACAAAUAAAACUGAAUUGUCAAACUAUGUUAAGAGAUAAAUAAAUUUAGUAGACCCUGUAUGAGAUUGCAGAUGAAAUAUGAUAUCCCGCACUUUGAUUAUAUGGAUAAAUAUAUGUUAAGUAUUAUAAAAAUGAUGGAUAUAUAUAUAUAUAUAUAUAUAUAUAUAUAUAUAUAUAUAUAUAUAUAUAUAUAUAUAUAUAUAUAUAUAUAUAUAUAUAUAUAUAUGUUAAAUAUAUUGUGUAAAAUAAUAUGAAUGUAGAUGAUUGGAUGUUGAUUCCUAGAAUUCAAUGAAUUAGAUGAUGCUGCAUGAUUACAUAAAUUUUGUAUGUAAUUUUGUAAUGUUGUCUUGUGUUCUAGAUGGUCUCUUCUUCUAAUGUUCCAUAGCUUUUAUUCUGAAUUGUAGUAAUUUAUAAAUUGUAAUUCUACAUGAAUUCUUUUUCUUCAUACUAAAAUUCCAAUUUACGAUUUUAUUUUUUUAUUCUCAAUUUUAGUUAUUCAUAAAUUGUAUUUCUACUAAAAACUCUCAUUAUUCUUUUAAAAGACCUCAUUUUCCCAAAAAAAAUUAAUUAAUCUUUUGUUUUGUUGGACUCUUCCUUUUUUUCUAUGAAUUUCGGUUAUUUCUAAAUUGUAUUCUACUGUAACUCUUAUUUUUCUUUUUAUCCGUUAAUGUAAAAUUUUCUAGCCUCUAGAGUGUGAUGGAUUUCUAUCGAGUUUUCUUAAUGAUAUCUAUACCAUCUAAAAAGAUGCUAGUGGUGGUGGUGGUUCUGCCACAUCCAUCUAUUUGACAAGUGGGGACCACCAUCUAUCUUGUGGAUCCAUCAUUGUUGACCAACAAUGUACUAGAGUGAGAAGCUCUAUUUGUUUCAUACACUGUACAACACAAUAUUUAUCCUAUCAUCAUUAAUCAGAGCUUGAGAGGUGAUGAAUUAGUUUUAGUUAGCUCAUAUAAUAUAAUUGGAGCUUGCUUCAACGCACAGGUAUUUUGCUAGUAAAAGAUAGAUAGAUAGAUGAGCAUGGCUUCCAUGUUACCUUGUGAUAUUCUAUGAGAGAAGUUUGCACAGCUCCAUUAAUGGCCCCAGGCUCCCCCUCCUUCCACUACUCGGCACUAGUUCAUUUGGAUUUGCUCGUUGCGUGAUUGAGGAAAGACGGUGAUUCAUCACCACUUCCACAAAUGAUUGGUAUUUGAUCUUGAAAUAUCUCAGACCAUUCACAUUACACCUAGGUGAUAUUCAGCCCCAACCUGUCACCUAGGAGAUUCCUCUCCACAUAGGCAACUAGCAUACCCCUAGGAAAAUCUCCGUCUCCGUAUGAGAAACGAGUGGCACUGUUAGAGCAUGUAGGAGAAAGAGAGAGGGGGAAAAGGACCUGGUAAAGUGCCACAGACGAUGAGGCCAUCGCCGUCGAGCUCCAUAUCCACCAUCACCACCUCAAUCUGCACCAGCUCUAGAGCAGGGUUGGAAAUUUCGGUCAUUUCAGUGACCCCCGAUACGAUAUUAAUUCGGUCGAAAUUUUUGAAUUUUUUUUCAUGAAUUUGGAUAAUAUUUGUUCAAAUUCAACUAAAUUUAUUCAAAAUUUUGGACCGAAAUUUCGGGAUUUCGGUGACCCCCGAUAGAAAACCCUAAACCGAUAUAGUGAACCCUGCUCUAGAGGGGUGGCCGGUGGCCCUAUCUGUGAACCAACAGUAACAGAGCAACACUAUCGGUUAUAUGCUUUUUCGCACCCAAUCCCACCCAAAAGUCCUAGAACCUAUCAGUAGGGAUGAAAACGGAUGGAAACUAGCUCUACUAUAUUCGUUUUCAUUUUUUUUGGGGGGGGGGGCGGGGGGGGUGUAUCUGAAUCGAACCCGGAUACGGAAAUGGAAUAGAAUAUUAUCGAAUACAGACUCAAAGUGAAUAUGGUAACAAAUAUUUACUAGAAAAUAAAACCCCUCAAAUUGAGCUUCCUUAAUCAAGUAAGAGAUAUCGCUUGUUAUUUUUAUGAAAUAAGAUAUCAACAUCUUCAAAAUUUAUAUUGUCAAUUUUGUAUGUAGUCUCACAAUCAUAUGUGAAAAUUUAUUUUCAUAGUUGUUCCCCUAAGAGACUCGUGUGUAAAUAUGAUUAUACACUUCCUAGUCCCAAGACCUCUUACUUCAUGCAUAGAUUACUUACAAUAUCACUUAUCAAGUUUUUGUUGUGUAGAUUGAAGAUGCUAUCUAUUUUAUUUCACAUCUUCGAAACUCAUAAAAUGGAGCACGUCUCCAUUUGAUGUUGUUUGAAUUGUAGAUAUGAGAUUUUGUAAAAACAAAUAUGGUAUUUUGUAAUGAAUAUCUAGACCCCCUAAAUGAUCUCAAAUAAUAAAAUUUUCAGCAACAAAGUUGUAGAUCCCGUCUAGCUAUACAAUUUUGAUAUAAAGUUUAUCAUCAUCUGACUUUGUAUGAAAAAGUUACGUAUAUAUACAUGUUUUUUCAAAAAAAUUGAUCCUUGUCUACGGAUAUCGAAAAAAAUCCAGAUAAUUUCCAACUGUUUUCUGAUUCCAACGGAUAGUGUCCUUAUUGUGUUUGUUUUUGUUUCCAAAAAAAAAAACAAAUUCGUUUUUGAAUCCAAAAAUAUGCGGAACUGUGUUCAACUGAACCUAUAUGGUUCCCAAAAAACAUCCGGACAGAGACCUAUAUAUAUGUUUCCCAAAAAACAUCCGGACAGAUGGAAAGUAUAUGUACCAAUUCCAUCCCUACCUGUAGGUUUAAGCCAUGAACCAACAUUAUUACUUAAAGUUGUGUAGACAUUAGUGAUACUCGAAUUGCUUUUUCAUAUGAAAUUGGUUAUGACAAACUUUACAUAAAAAUUGAAGAGAAUGAAGAGAUGAUGACACUUUUUUCAUUUGAGAACGUUUACAUGCUUGGAUAUGUAUUAGAAAUUCUCAAAUUUAUUGGAGUAGUUUAUUUUUAAAAAAAUUUCAAAUAACUUCGAAUGGAGAGAAUAUCUAUAAAAAUUUUAGAUCUUGAUGAGAUCUAUAGCUUCUUAGUUGACAAUAUUUUUGUUUGAAAUCAUUUAAUGCCUAAAUAUACCCAAAUGUGCAUAUACCGUUAGAUACAAAUCGGAGAGCUGAGAUUUACCGGUCAUUUAUGUAAAUAUAACACUUAAUUAAUCCCAACCAACCCAUCCAAACCUUAGUCCCAAUGCUACCACCACCCCUAUUCUCUCCACACCACCGCUGCCAUACCUCUCCUCUCCUACCAUCGCCUCCUUCCCUCUUGCACACCGUCGUCAUCACUACCCCCCCUCCGCCAGAGCGGUAGUGGCCAAUGUUGUGUGGAAGAGGACGAAGGGGCGGUGGUGGUGCAUGUGGUGGGGAGGAGGUAGUGGUCAAUCUCCUCCCUCUGUGUGUAUAUCUGUCUCCCUCCUAAGAUCCUGAUCGAGUAGGUGGCUGUGUGAUGGGGAGGAUGACAUCAGGCGGCGGUGAUGGGCGAGAAGGACAAGGGGGCAAUGGCCGAUGUUGUGGGCGAGGACGAGGGAGUAGUGGACAGUAAGGUGGGAGCUAGAUCAAAUUGGCCCCGAGCUAGGGAUUGCCAGAUCUAGCCCAUGGCAGUGCGGUGACGACAGUAGCUCGGAUGAUGCAGUGAGGACGGUGGCUCCUGUAGCACAUGUGCGGUGGCCGGUAGAUCCGCGACAGGCACCGAUGGAUCUGGUGCCACCGAGUUCGUCGUACUGACAUCGUGGAGGUCUUGGAGGAGUGUCGCCGACCAUGUGAGUUUAGUUGAUAUUUUUUAGGUUCAUCAUUGGAUUGAUGUCGAUGUGAAAGAGAAAAGUUUGUAUUUGUGAGAUUUAUAUGUUGGAUCUCUAGAGAAAAAUUUGUAUUAAAGUGCGCAGCUACUGAACGCGUAAAAAACUGAAGCAGUGCAUGAAAAAAAUGAGUAUAAGCGGUAACUUUCGUUUAUCAGAAUUUUAUUGUAAUUUAUAGGAAUUUUCACGACGAUGUUGAGUACUUCAACGGUUGAACCUCAUCAUAUACUUCCACCACAUUUUAUAGGAAUUUUGUAGGACCUGUAAGAGGUCAAUCAAUACUAACAAAUGGCUUUAUAUAUACACAGGAGAGAGAAGCAUUUCAUUUGUGAGAGCGACCGCACCGUGUGAAGAUUUUUUUUUUAAUUUUUUAGACAUUUUUAUUUUUUAAUUUUAUUAAUAGACCUUUUUAAAAAGUAUUUUCAGAUCUAAACCUUUUCGCCCACGCCACGUGCAACUGUCAUGGCAGUGCUAUACUAUCAUGCCAGCCUCUUGCCACGUCACCGUGGCUGGCGUGGCAGGACAACGCUGUGGCCAAAAGGUUUAGUUCUCGAAAAUAUUUUUUGAAAGGUCUAUUAAUAAAAUCAAAAAAUAAGUCUAAACAAUAAAAAAAAUUCCCACGUGAACGGCGACUACCAUAACUCAUUCCAUUGUUUUAAGUCACAUAAUUAAUCGAGGGCUGCUAUACAACAGAAUCUGAUUGGGACGGGAUGAUACCAGUUAGAUAUCAUGUCUUGGUACCUCUGAGGUAUCAUGUCUUAAUACCUAACCGGUAUCAGGCGAUUCCUAUCACAUAUCAGGUGAUACCUGUCAGGCAUCAGGCGAUUCCUACCACGUAUUAGAUGAUACUUGCGAGAUAUCAGGAGCCAGGCACCAAAGUGUCGUCACUAGUGGUCCCAUCGUCCACGUCCCACGCCUGAGCUCGUCGGCGGCGGUCGCAUCCUCGACAGUCCACACCACAAUGGAGCUUGUCCCCGGCGGCCGCUCCUCCGUCAUCCACACCCCACGCCAGGCUCGUCGCCGGCGGCCGCGUCCUCCGUCGUCAACGCCCCACGUCGGAGCUCGUCGUCGGCAGUCGCGUCCUCUACCAUCACGCCGGAACUCAUCACCCGCAUCGCUGCAUAUCUUCUCCGGUGGUGUGCUCCCCGAUGGAGCAGCGAGGCGAGGCAGCAUGGGCCUUCUCCAACGAGCUCCCUUCUCUCCCUUCUUCCUCCGCUGCCCCAACGCUGCUCCACAGCCGCAUGCAUGCGCUCGUGCUCUAGGGAAUGAGGAGGAAGACGAUACCGUCGCAGGUGCUAGAAACGGGAUACCGGUAUCUAGCUUUUCCGAUAAUUAAUUGCGAAAAUCAGAGGCUGGCAGUAUAUAUUCACAUCCCACCACCAUACGGCACCACCCCAGCGAGUUAGCCUUCCCCCGCGAGGCAGCAAGACCAAUAAUUGAAGCCAUCAGUUGGGGGCCAUUUACAAGGCAGGUGGCAAGUGAAAUACAUCUCAAGAUUUGGAUGGAGAGCUAUCACCAGAAGACUAGAAGCUCAAGAUUUGGAUGGAGGGCUGGCACCAGAAGAAUAGAAGCUUGAUGGAAACCUUGGUCAUCUGGAGAGUUUUGGGCUUCAGCAGUCACUUCUUUCUGCUGGCUUGAUCACGUUUGUGUUGAGGAUAGCUUUGCUGGGUCACUUCUGGACAUAGGUCCUGUUUGAUCGUAAUUUCGGUUUCGGUCUUUUUUUUGUCCUUUGUUUAGUUUCAGCUUGGGCUUUCAUUCCCUAGUUAAAAAAAAAAAGGGGGGCCAUGACUGAGCUCGCGUCUGGCGCCGUGAGCUCACUGCUGGCGAUCAUCCGCAACGAGGCGGCUCUUCUCGGUGGCGUCCGGGACGACGUGCAGUUCAUCAAGGAGGAGAUGAAGAGCAUGAACAGCUUUUUGGCGCACUUGGCGAAGAGCGCUCCGCAGGGUGGAGAGCACGACGAGUUGCGGGGAGGCAAACCUGAUAAGAAUCAAGCAACAUGUGAACCUGAUGUUCCACCUGAUAAGAAUCAAGCAACAGGUGAACAUGCAGGUGUAAUGGAUCACAAUGGAGAGGCUUAUUUUACAGAAAUAGAGCAGAAGAUUGACGAAAUCAAGCAGGAAUUUAAAAAACAGCUGAAAAUCAAAGGGAUUAUGGACAAGAUCAAACAUCACUUGAUCGAGUACAAGAUCAAACAUGACUUACCGAAUGAGUGCCCCCUCAUUAUCCUAAAAUUUGAUGAUAUGAUGGAUGGAUCCAGAUGGGAGGAGUUCAACCUUGAUUGGACAAUGGGUUGCAGAAGGUUUGACACUCAAGGAAGAUUGGUCCAGUUCUGUGCAUCAGGCAAAGAUUUGAUGCCCUCAUCCAUCGGUAUCUUGUUUGUCCUGUUGAUAUUGGUGGCACAGGAAAGGUGAAGAGCUGUGUGGUAAAUGAUCCAGUUCAUGGGUUCAUUACCACAAUUGCCAGAAAACAACAUAUUGUGGAGACACGCCUAUCACAUCAUUUGGCUCGCCACUUCUCCAUUUUCAAUGAUCUUCGACUCCGCAGCUCUGAUGGAAUUCACACAUUCUUCCAAAGCCUCUCACGAUCAUCUCGAGUAUCCCUACUAAAGGUGCUAGAUCUAGAAGGUUCUCAGUGCUUUGGUGUUAAGAACCAGCGGUACCUCAAGGACAUCUGCAGCAAGAUGUUACUGCUCAAGUAUCUGAGCCUAAAGAAAACAGAAAUUACCCAACUGCCCAGUGAAAUCAACUGCCUCCGUGAGCUAGAGGUAUUGGAUAUCCGAGAAACUAAGGUGCCUGCAAAUGCAACGGUUAAUGUUCUGCUCUUGAAGCUAAAGCGUCUACUUGCUGGUCACAUUGAUUCAAGUCCAAGAAAUUCUGGCACUAGCGUUCAGAUUCCUCACAGGAUAGACAAGAUGGUAAACAUAGAGGUACUAUCUAAUGUCAAGGCCCAACGCCGUGAUGAUUUGGAAGAUACUGGAAAGCUAUGGCAGCUAAGGAAGCUAGGUGUGGUUGUUGAUGAUAAGAGAGGUCACCUUGGGAAUUUGCUUAAAGCAAUCAGCAACCUACAUGAGUGCAUCCGUUCUCUGACAAUCACUAUUUCCACAACCACACACAAGGAUACUCCUUCAAACCCAGAGUUACCAGAUCAUAUUGGCUCUGACCUUCCCCAUCCCAAGAAACUUGAGAGUCUAAGCAUCAGUGGAGCCAGGCAUCUUUUUCCAUUGUUGAUCAAAAGUGAUAAUAACAAGCUUGCCAAGGUAACUCUAAGUAGCACACCACUGAACCAAGAUGAUCUGGAGGUCCUCGCCAAGCUACCCAAGUUACAGUGUGUUAGGCUCCAACACAUUUCAUGCAUAGUGAGUGAGCUCAUCUUCAAGGAAGAAAAUUUCAAAUGUCUCAAGUACCUACUUAUUGAGGGCUUUAACUUGACUAAUAUCACUUUUGAGGAUGGAUCAGCCUGUGAGCUCGAGAAAAUGGUUUUAUCUUCCACCAGCAUAGAGUCUGUCUCUGGAGUUGAUGUGCUUCCGAAAUUCAAAGAGCUUGAGUUGAACAACAGCCAUGUCCCGAAUGAGUUGAAAGAAGCCGUUGAAAACAAUAAAAGGAUAAUUCUUAAAUGUAAUGAACCAUGAACUCAAGACCAGGCAAAACGGAGAUGAACAAGAGGAUGAAGACAAUGCUGCAACAUCCCCAUUCUGCUGGAAGAAACAGGUUUGUCGCCAGCGGAGCAUAUCUCCUUUGAUCCCAUGGUGUGGUUUGUGUGUGCUAGUGUGGAUUGCCAUCUGCUGCUUGUCUGUUUAUUUCUUUCUGCUGUGCGUGAGCGUGUCUUUAUGUUCUGCAUGAUGUAAUAAUUCUUGUUGUACCCUGUUUUUUUCUUCCUUACUCUGUUUUGGUCUAUUUCCUAGUUCGAGUCAGUGUAAGCUCAAGUCUUGAUUGUUCAAGCCGGAGCAAGUCCUUAGCUAGUUGGCACAACAUGCACUGGCGUGUGGGAUGACACACGAUUCAGCGAGCAAGUUAGCUGUGUCAUUGGUGCGGCACGCCCUGACGUGCGGGAUGGCGCACGAAGUGGACGGGCGUGGCGUACGUAGUGGCUUGAAGGCCACAAUUUCAUUUGCGUCUUGUCUAUUUAAGUUUCAAUAUAAUCGAGAAAAUGCUGCCACUUGACAGCACCAAAAAAUCUCUUCAUGUUCGAGUUCUUCAUCAUCAAGUUCAGAGCAAGUUUGUUUGUUUGGUUUGUUUCUAACACUCCAUGUGUUUCAACUGAGUGUGUCCGGUUACUUGCUAUGCAUAAGUGCCUUGUGCCUCUAAUUGAGCUAAAAUGGUCGUGUCUCUGCUCGGAUUUGCAUUUGUGUGGUUUUCAUUUGUCAAACACCAUAUGCAUUCAUGGACAUUUUUGUGUAAUAAUAAGUAUAAUAUUUGUUUACACAUUUGACUUCUAAUUAAUAUAAUGUGUGCUACAUUAUACAGUUUUCUUAUUCCUGAAAAAGGAAAUAUUAUGCAGCAUGCUUGACUGGAUUCUGAAACUCAACGAUGAACUGGGUAAAUGGGGGAAGCAAAGUUUUAUGCAGAUUACUUAUGCAUGAUCUGCAAUCUGUUUGCACCUUCCGAUUGCACUGCUAGCAGUAUGCAUGAUCAAGGAAAAACAGACGUUGUUUUCAGUCGUAUGUUAUCGUGCUUUUGGUUGGUCCAUGUGGUUUCUCUCCGUUUUUUUUAUGAUGGAGAAGCAAGUAUAGUUCAGAAGUUAAUAUAACUGAGUCCACGAUUUAGCAAGCUGCAUGCCUUGAUCGAUGGGGAAGCCAGGUCUUCAGACAAAAGGAAUGAUUUGUGCAGGAGGACAGCUUCAACCAAGCAUUUAGCUAGCGAAGCAGCGGAUAUAUGCAUGCAUACCGGAGUUAUAAUAAUGAGCAGGAAUAAUUUUCAAGCAGUGAGACUACCAAGUGGCAAUUACCUUGCAUCAAUGGCUGUCUUGGCGUGAUCGACAAUGUUGAAAAACUGGAGGCUGGAGUUGUUGGGGACGCACAUCCUCCACCAUGUGUUCACCAUCAAGUCAAUCAGCACCCAGCCUUUACAGCCCUGAACGGUGUUUAAGGUGUUAUGUGUAAUCAGCUACAAGUACUCGCUCUCCUCUGCUCCGGAAUAGACGUUCUAGAAUAGGGACCUGAUGUCCUUUAUAUAGAUGAGAACUCGAUAGUGACGCUUCUUUCUUCACCUUUCCUUCCAUGACCACUUGAUCUGAGUUCCUCCCAUUCUCCCCACCAAUGAGCAUCUCCUUUGCGCCUCGCCCGCACCCUGCCUUCCUCCUCCCAUCUCCAGCGGCUCUGGCUUAACACUUCCUGCUGCACUAACCCAAUGAGCUGCGACACCCCUGCCCCAACACUGCUCACACAAUGGUUGACAUGAUGCUAGCUAUAGUUUAAGAGGUUUUCUUAUUAGAACCAUUUAUAAAGAUAUAACAAGAUUGGAAGCAAGCAAUAGUCAAACUGCCAUCCUAACUGGAGUGUAAUUCACUAGUAGGCUAGUAGAUACUAGAUACUAGAUACUAGCUACAAUAGUUUAGUAACAGGGCCAAGUACAACAUGACACCAUAACCAACCAUGGGUCAGUAAGCAUGGCUCAAGUAGGAAAUGCAAAAUAUCCCAAAAGAAUUUGAGAAGAUAACUAUCAGGAUAUCACUACAACAUAGAAGAACAGUUUUAAUUGUUGGGUAGUCAAACAAAAUAGAAAAAAAGGUUAGGAGAGUAAAAAAAAAGGGGGAAAUUACAAAGUAUAAAAAUGAAGUACAAACAGAACAAUGGAUACUACAAAAACUAUAGAUAAGUAGUUCAUCAUGUGCCCAAUCAUGAUGUGUUGAGUGUUGACAAGAAGCAGAAAGGGGUAGCAAGGAGAUGAAACAGCAGAUUAUGUGUAUAAUUACUACAAUUUUUUACUAUUUCUAGUUGUCCAGAGGAAAUCUGAUAUCACAAUACUUUCGUUGUUUACAUUAAUUUCAGUGCAAAAAGAACAUUUAUAUUAUCUGAGCCUAAGAUAUUCUUUGCAUCUGUGUUUGGAAAAUUUAUACUUCAAUUUUCAGGUUCUUAAAAGAAAACUAAAAAUGACAAGUCCCGACACUUUCAGAGAAGAACCAAUAGCGAUGUCUCUCCUAGACACUCCCUAGUUUACAUGGGGAGUAAUACAUUUCAUGGAGUAUGCUGUGAUGUUCUAUCCACAUAUACAAAAAGAAGAACAAGGUCAUAUGCUGAAACUCGGUUCAGUAAAUAUUAUAACAUCUUAUGGCUAUGGAACCUUCUUAACCAAAGUAUCCAAAAAUAUAGAAAACUAUGGUUCAUCAAACUAACAUGACAGACUGAAAGUUUAGCAACACUUUUAAAUAUUUAGUCCACAUGAAACACUGAGAAAUCAUCCAUACUUGACAAUUUUCAAGAGAAUUCCAACGAGCGUACAAACUCACUGUUACUGUCAAAACCCAAAGUUGAUGCCUAGUGAUUUAACUGAGCUCCCUUUUCUUCUGUGAGGAACUAAAGGUCCAUUUUAACCCAUAGCACUAGUUAGGAAUCUUCACCAAGACAACUAAUAACAGGGAACCAAGUCCACAGGAUGAUCAACACAUUAGUCUAUAGAUCAGUAUAAACAUCAGAUUUCCAUGAUCCCAAAGUACACAAUCAAUUGUUGGUUGUAGGGUGUCACAUCCUGAUUUUUGUUUCAGGAUUUAUAAAUUAUUAUUAGAAUUUAUAUUAAAUGUUCAUUAAUUUGCAAGUGAAGUUAAAUGUGGGAAAUAAAAUUUCCUAAAUUUAAAGCAUGGAUAGAAUUAAUUUUUAUUAAAUUUUCCAUGAUUAAGUGUACUCUCUGAAAUUUUCUCGGAUUUUUUCGGAGCUCAAUUCCUAAAUGAUACAAAGAACACAUCGGUAAUUAUUUGAUCAUUAAUGAUCUAAUUAUAAUUGUUAAGAGCUUUUCUUGUUCAAAAAUCCUUAAAUUAUAAAUUGUUGUUUAAAAGGAAUUAUUAGAAAUGAUCUUAAAAGCCUAAAAGAGAAGAUCUAAUUUUAAUUUGCUAAAUCUCAAUAUAAAAUUGGGCUAGAUAAAAUUUUGUUAAAUACUUCUCUUGAAUCUUUAGUUCCUAGAUUUUUCUGGGAUUUAUUUGAGCCAAGAAAGUAUUUUUAAUAAAUGGAAUUGCAUUUCAUGAAUAAUUUAAAUUGAAAAAGGUUUUUAAAAGUCUUCUUUUGGCUUUGGGCCGAAAGUCGGCCCAAAACCUUCUCUCUCUCUCUCCCCGGCCCAAGCCGGCCCAGUCAGCCCGCAGCCGCCCGCGCGCGCGCGCUCGGCCGCUGACAGGUGGGUCCCACCUAUCGGACUUGUCUUCCUCCUCGCGCCGUCGCCCGGCCGGAACCCUAGCCGAGCCGCGCCGCCGUCUCCUUCCAAAUCCGGCCGCCCCUUUCCGUUUCCGAUGGAAUUAAUAGAGGGGAAAUGAUCCCCGGGAUCCCCUCUAUCUUUUCUCUUAUGGAAUCAUCGCCUAAUUCGGUUUGGAAAUCCGUGGAUUCGAUCUCGAAUCGGAUUCGUCUCUCUCCUCCGAACCCUAAUCUUUCCUUCUCGUCGCCGGUCGCCGUGGGCCUUCGUCGCCGCCUUCCAACCCCUAUAAAAGGACCCCCAAGCCCGCCGCUACCCGCCGCCACCCUCGUCUUCGUCCGCCGUCGCCCGUAGAGCCCUAGCCCCGUGAGACCUCGCGCUGCCGUCGCCGCCGCAGCUCCAGCCGUGCGCCGCCGUCGCUCCAGUCGUCAUCGCUGCUCGGGAAGGUCGCCGUCGUGGUCGCCGUCGCGUCGCCGUCCUCGUCCGCCCCUCCGCCGUCGCUGUCGACCGCCGGAACACCGUCGCCAUCGUCGAGCCGAAGAGCGCCGCCGCUUCUUCCUCGUCGCCGACGUCGUCCGGUCAUCUUCCGCCGCUGUUUUGGUCAUCAGUGAGUUCGCCGCGUCGCUCGCAUCAUUUUGGUGCUCUCCGUUCGCACUGCCGCGCCGUUGUUCGCCGGCGAGCUUGCACGCCCGAGCCGCCGCCGGUGGUGACGUCACCGCUGACGUCAUCGUCGUCGUCUCCCGUGGUCCGGCCGUGGACCGGUCGAUCUUGGCCGUCCGUUGUGGAUAGGAUCGAUCUCGGCCGUUCGUUUCUGUGAGCCGCCGCCGUGCACCCGGUCCACCGCGAACCUAGCCGCUGACGCAAUAAUUCCCUUUUCCUUUUCAAAAAUAAUUCAUUAUUGCGUCAUAUUUCAAUUAAAACCCAUAUAAGUGUUUUAAUCCGAUUUAAUCUUUAAAAAUUCGUAACUAAUUCAUCUUAGCUCGGAUUUAGUUGGUUCAAGUCUCUAAAUUUUUCUAAAAUUGAGAUCUACAUGUUAAAAAUAUCCACAUGUACUGUUCAUGCUUGUUUAUGUGCUGUUUUGGUGUUUUUGCUCUUUUCUGUUUAGAUUCCGACGUUUCCGGAGAGUUCGUUUUCGCAGGAGAAGAAUUUGAAGAGUUCCAAGGCUAGCAAGGCAAGUCACACAGAUCCCAAACAACCCUUUGAGCAUGUUGAUCCCGUUUAAAGCUAUUGUUUCUAUUCAACUAUUGCAUUUAUUUUCGAAUGUCAUUGGGUGGAAUUAACCUAUUGUUUGUUAUAGCCCUUUCGUUCUUGAUUACUUUAUUCCUUGAUACCUUGGGUUAUUAUAACUUGACUAGUUGAGCUUUAUAUAUUGGUUCAGCUAGAUAUUAGAUAUGAUUGCUUAGCCAUGAUUAGAAACAUUAGCACACUAUUGGGAUAACUUAUGACUCACUAUUAUUUAAUGAUGGCUUAAUGAUAGUUCACGAUGGUCAAUCGUGAUUGAUUAAUUAAUUAAAUUGGUAAUUAAAAUAUGAUUAAUGGUGGGUUGUGAGCACAUGGUUUUGAAGGUCGUGCUCAUAGCAAUUAAGGACCGGUUCGCGAGCUACUGUUGUGAAACAUUAACCGUGCCAACCACAAGCCAGCGUGGGCAACGGCUUUACCUUUUGUAUAGCAUGAUUCAUUGCGGAGCACCAGACUGAGAAGUGGCGGAGAUAAGCCCACGGGGGUCGCUGGGGAGUCCAUGCCUUGUUUAUAAGGGGGUGAUUAUGAUCCAGGAACGGUGCACUGUGGUGGAUUGUGUUGUGCGAGGGGUACUGUCACAGCCCCUUUCCGAGGUACCGUGGUGGUAUUGAGGCACAUGGUGACAUGUUGUGGGGCUGUGUCUCGUGGGUACAGUGGUACACCUCUGGCCAGAGUAAAACUAUUCGAAUAGCCGUGCCCGCGGUUAUGGACGGGUUGAGCAAUGUUUUUCGUGAUUAGUCUCACACCUCUCACAAUAAUUAUUGAUGCUAUAACUGGUAAUAAUUUGUUUAGCUCCUGGUUUGGAGUUAGAUCUGUACAGCCGGAUAUGGUUGUUCAGGAUGGUUGGGCCUGUGCAGCAUGGGUGUGCUGUUCAGUGUUGAUUAAAAUUUCUGAUUAAUUACUCUACUGUUUUACUACUCUUAACUCUUUGCUAAAUGCUGCUUUCGCAAAUGAGACUAUAUUGUGCCAUCCUUUGGUAUCCUUAUGCAUUUGCAUAUUUGCUGUGUGGCUUGUUGAGUAUGUCAUAUGCUCAUUCUUGCAAUAAUCAAUCAACCUCAGUUGAAGACAUGUUGCGAAGGAGAAGACGUUUGGCUUAUACCCCAGUUGAGCUGCCUGUGGGAGUGGAGCUGAAGCCAUCGCUAGACCGUUAGUUCCGCUGCUGUUUUUCUUUUCUUUUGUAAGUAUGUAACGUUAUUAUUAUGAUGGAUUUGUAUAUUAAAUUGUCAGUUUGUGUACCUCGGCUGAUUCCUGGACGAGGAUUUUAUGCACAAAUUAGUUCGGAAAUUAUUAGUGAAUUUCCGGGCGUGACAUAGGGCAGGAGUUACAUUGCCAAUAUCUACAGCAAGGAGCCCCUCUGAUCUUCACCGUUAGAUAAUUUACUCUUAACACAUUAAUUAAGGGUAGUAAACUACUUAACCACUGAAGACAUCAUGAUUGCUACUAGUUUACAAUCCCAAUUCAUAUAACUUAAAUGCAACCAUAUUAGUAUAGAGUUAAUCUCGGAUAGCAAACUCUACUGAUUAUUCAAAGCUAUGAAGGAUCAUUCUAAAUCAGAAAUAUGGAACACGGCAUCCAAUCCACCCACCAAACGUCACUAAUUCACCAUAGAACCUACAAAAACGACAUUUCUCACCAAGCAAUGCACGCUAGUAAAUCAUCUCAAGCUCAAAAUUAGGAUCAGGAAACCAAGCUGACUAAAUCGAUCAUUGCGAUGGCACCCUUCUAGCUCUAAACUAACGCCCAAAUCCUCAUCAGUCAUCACAAAAAUUUAUGAGAUGCGGAGCAAUUAAAUUGGCACGAAAUGAAGGCGAGGCGCCUCACCUCGGCGAGCCACCGGUCGUCCUCGGCGUCGGCGAUCGCGAAGCCGGUCCACCCGCCGGCGCCGUCCUCGAGCUCUCGCACGAGCCCCUGCAGCGACGCGCACAGGCGGAGCCACGGGGAGUAGAACUCCAGCACGGCCGCGUCCCUGCCGCCCGCCAGCGCCCGCUGCUCCACCUCCGCCGCCAACCCGGGGAUCCUCCUCCUCCUCCUCACCCCCACCGCCGCCUCCUCCGUCCGACGAGGGGGAGGGGAGGUCCCCGGCGACGAGGCGGCCCUGCGCCAAUGUGCGGAUGGACUUGAAGAGCCAGGGAAGCUCGAGGUCGCCGCAAGGCCAUGGCCACUUGAAGCAGACGAAGGGAGGGGGGCGUCGCGGCGGCGGCCAUCUCUCCGGCGAGAGAAGCGGUGGAAGCGCCGACGAGGCGGCGGCGGAUUGGUCGAAGGCGUGGGGGAUGAAUGGACGGCGC
Molecule: long non-coding RNA, 37346 nt
Filed under: Oryza sativa (Asian cultivated rice)
Lineage: Eukaryota; Viridiplantae; Streptophyta; Magnoliopsida; Poales; Poaceae
Description: long non-coding RNA (OSAT_LNC000024)
Source: RNAcentral